Mus musculus (house mouse) is the source of this 1708-nucleotide RNA transcript. It is a transcript of the gene named OTU deubiquitinase with linear linkage specificity, with no coding region annotated. NCBI's taxonomy places the organism in Eukaryota, Metazoa, Chordata, Mammalia, Rodentia, Muridae. The transcript has 8 exons. The record is from RefSeq and is marked validated.
AGUGACGCUUACGGAAGCGCUCUGCGGACCUCGCGGGGUGCGGGGCAGCGCAGCCACGGCUCCGGACGGCGGGACGGCAGGGCCCGGCGUGGCCGCGGAUGAGUCGGGGAACCAUGCCCCAGCCCGGAGCGUGGCCCGGUGCAAGCUGCGCCGAGACGCCGGCGCGCGAGGCCGGGGCCGCGGCGCGGGACGGCGGGAAGGUGACGGCCGGCGCGCAGCCCCGGGCCGCGACGCGAUGCCCGGCCGAGCAAACCCAGGUUAAGUGUGGCUCCUGAAAUGGAUAUCAUGGACUACUGCAAAAAAGAAUGGAGAGGAAAUACUCAGAAAGCCACAUGUAUGAAAAAGGGCUAUGAGGAAGUGUCUCAGAAAUUCACUUCCAUAAGGCGAGUCCGUGGUGAUAACUACUGUGCACUGAGGGCCACACUGUUCCAGGCCAUGAGCCAGCUGGCCGAGCUGCCCCCCUGGCUGCAGGACUUGGAGCUCAUACUGAACCAGCCCGUUUGACUGCAGGCAGAUCGUCUGACCCUAGCCCCAACCUGGACAUAGCUGGCCAAAGCUGGAUCAGCCCCUCACUUGUGAAAAGGGAAUCUGCGCCUUGCCUGUCCUUGCCUGUGUUAGUUCUGCAGGCUGGACUCCUGUAGAUUUGAACCAACAGCAUUUAACCUUGCAGCCUUCUCUGUGGCUAUGCUUUGAGAUUGUGACUUCCAUAUUCAGAUUCUCCAUCCUCAACCCAUAUGAUCCUCUCGCAGGAAUUAAUUUUUGAAAUAAGUUACCAGAGAAGCUGAUAAACAAGUAUACCUGGAUCAAGCAGUGGAAACUUGGACUGAAAUUUGAUGGGAAGAGUGAGGACCUGGUUGAAAAAAUUAAGGAAUCCCUUGCCCUGCUAAGGAAGAAGUGGGUAAGCCUGGCUGCAAUGAAAACUGCUGAAGCGAGGCAGACAGCUUGUGAUGAGCUGUUCACCAACGAAGAGGAGGAGUACAGCCUCUACGAAGCUGUGAAGUUCCUGAUGUUAAACAGAGCCAUCGAACUGUACGAUGACAAGGAGAAGGGAAAGGAAGUGCCGUUCUUCUCUGUGCUCUUGUUUGCCCGAGACACAUCCAAUGACCCUGAACAGCUCCUGAGGAACCACCUAAACCAGGUGGGACACACGGGGGGCCUUGAGCAGGUUGAGAUGUUCCUUCUUGCCUAUGCUGUCCGCCACAGCAUCCGGGUGUACCGGCUGUCCAAGUAUAACACAGAGGAGUUCAUCACAGUCUACCCCACUGAUCCCCCCAAGGACUGGCCAAUGGUGACCCUCAUAGCUGAGGAUGAUCGGCACUAUAACAUCCCUGUCAGAGUGUGUGAGGAGACCAGUGUGUGAGGGACACACAUGUGACUGCCAAGAGAUGCGCAUGUGCAGCUCCUCCUCUGGGGGCCUCAGAUCUGCAGGUCUCCAAGGACAAUCUGGGAGAACUCUCGGGCCCCUGGAGCCAACUUUGGACCAUUAUGUUCUGAAGACUAGCUGUUGAUAAUGAGAAUUAAUUAGCCAAGCCUUCACUCCUUGUUCUGUUAUGCAGUGUGUUCCACUGGGGGCUUCAGCACGUGCCUUUGGAAGGUGCAAACUAUGUCUCCAUAAGGCGGAUGCUUUUGGGUCAAAGAAAACUGUUUGGAAAGGAAUCUGUCCAAUGAAAGUUCUGACGGUAAACUGGUUUUACUUCUCUUUUUAAAA